This 1487-nucleotide ribosomal RNA is filed under the name uncultured rumen bacterium. Its description in RNAcentral is "bacterial SSU rRNA". It matches the Rfam family "Bacterial small subunit ribosomal RNA". The record is from RNAcentral.
AGAGUUUGAUCAUGGCUCAGGAUGAACGCUGGCGGCGUGCCUAACACAUGCAAGUCGAGCGAGACUCCGGCAGAAGAGACUUCGGUUAAAUCAGUCGGACGAUAGCGGCGGACGGGUGAGUAACGCGUAGGCAAUCUGCCCCGUACAGAGGGAUAGCCGUUGGAAACGACGAGUAAGACCUCAUGAUGCAGCACUUUCACAUGGGAGAGCUGCCAAAGAUUUAUCGGUAUGGGAUGAGCCUGCGUCUGAUUAGCUGGUUGGUGAGGUAACGGCCCACCAAGGCGACGAUCAGUAGCCGACCUGAGAGGGUGAUCGGCCACAUUGGAACUGAGACACGGUCCAAACUCCUACGGGAGGCAGCAGUGGGGAAUAUUGCACAAUGGAGGGAACUCUGAUGCAGCAACGCCGCGUGAAGGAUGAAGGUUUUCGGAUCGUAAACUUCUGUCCAUGGGGACGAAGAAAGUGACGGUACCCGUGGAGGAAGCCCCGGCUAACUACGUGCCAGCAGCCGCGGUAAUACGUAGGGGGCGAGCGUUAUCCGGAAUUAUUGGGCGUAAAGAGUGCGUAGGUGGCCCACUAAGCGCAGGGUUUAAGGCAAUGGCUUAACUGUUGUUCGCCUUGCGAACUGGAGGGCUUGAGUUCAGGAGAGGAAAGNNNNNUNCCUAGUGUAGCGGUGGAAUGGCGUAGAUAUUAGGNAGGGAACACCGGUGGCGAAGGCGACUUUUCUGGACUGAUACUGACACUGAGGCACGAAAGCGUGGGGAGCAAACAGGAUUAGAUACCCUGGUAGUCCACGCCGUAAAACGAUGAGCACUAGGUGUCGGGGCCGUAAAGGCUUCGGUGCCGCAGUUAACGCAAUAAGUGCUCCGCCUGGGGAGUAUGCACGCAAGUGUUAAACUCAAAGGAAUUGACGGGGACCCGCACAAGCAGCGGAGCAUGUGGUUUAAUUCGAAGCAACGCGAAGAACCUUACCAGGACUUGACAUCCCCCUGACAGGGCUUUAAAAGGCCCCUUCUUCGGACAGGGGAGACAGGUGGUGCAUGGUUGUCGUCAGCUCGUGUCGUGAGAUGUUGGGUUAAGUCCCGCAACGAGCGCAACCCUUGCCUUUAGUUGCCAUCAUCAAGUUGGGCACUCUAGAGGGACUGCCGGGGACAACUCGGAGGAAGGUGGGGAUGACGUCAAAUCAUCAUGCCCCUUAUGUUCUGGGCUACACACGUGCUACAAUGGCCGGUACAGCAGGAAGCGAAGCCGUGAGGCGGAGCGAACCCCAAAAGCCGGUCCCAGUUCGGACUGCAGGCUGCAACCCGCCUGCACGAAGUCGGAGUUGCUAGUAAUCGCGGAUCAGCACGCCGCGGUGAAUGCGUUCCCGGGUCUUGUACACACCGCCCGUCACACCAUGGAAGUUGGUGGUGCCCGAAGUCGGUCAAAAAAUCUACUGCCUAAGGCAAAACCAAUGACUGGGGCGAAGUAGUGACAAGGUAGCCGUA